ACAACUUUCAACAAUGGAUCUCUUGGUUCUGGCAUCGAUGAAGAACGCAGCGAAAUGCGAUAAGUAGUGUGAAUUGCAGAAUUCAGUGAAUCAUCGAAUCUUUGAACGCACAUUGCGCCCCUCGGUAUUCCGUGGGGCAUGCCUGUUCGAGCGUCAUU
Molecule: ribosomal RNA, 158 nt
Filed under: Lentitheciaceae sp. MUT 4420
Lineage: Eukaryota; Fungi; Ascomycota; Dothideomycetes; Pleosporales; Lentitheciaceae
Also listed under: 1 other name
Description: 5.8S ribosomal RNA
Rfam family: 5.8S ribosomal RNA
About the family: 5.8S ribosomal RNA (5.8S rRNA) is a component of the large subunit of the eukaryotic ribosome.
Source: RNAcentral